UACGUAGGUGGCAAGCGUUGUCCGGAUUUACUGGGCGUAAAGGGAGCGUAGGCGGACUUUUAAGUGGGAUGUGAAAUACCCGGGCUUAACCUGGGUGCUGCAUUCCAAACUGGGAGUCUAGAGUGCAGGAGGGGAAAGUGGAAUUCCUAGUGUAGCGGUGAAAUGCGUAGAGAUUAGGAAGAAUACCAGUGGCGAAGGCGACUUUCUGGACUGUAACUGACGCUGAGGCUCGAAAGCGUGGGGAGCGAACAGG
RNAcentral lists this ribosomal RNA (253 nucleotides) under uncultured bacterium. RNAcentral's name for it is "partial 16S ribosomal RNA". It matches the Rfam family "Bacterial small subunit ribosomal RNA", at positions 524 to 776 of the family's 1533-position model. The record is from RNAcentral.